CAGGUGGCUGUGCAGUGAGUGGGUUGCUCUUUGACAAUGCGGCAUUGGACUGUCUACAGUCAUAAAAUGUUAAAAUUAUAAGAUCUAGAGAUGGGAGUAGGCAAGAAGGAGUCAACCGGGAUUGGCAAGAGGAAUGUCUAGUUUUCCAGAAAAUAAUUGGGUUAGGACUGUAACUACAAGAGGACUUGACAAUGAGCCGGAUCUGAGAGGAUCACCAAAACUGAAGAGCAUACAACCAUGCCGACAACCAUCCGUGGAGAUCAGUGGACAAAGGCUGGACAAUGGGCCACACCGAAAUAAAAACGCAUGGUUCCCAAGAAAGAGCCACUGUAAUCGAUGGGGGCUCAGGGCGGUACCAUUCUGCUCAUCUGAUGAAGGUGCACAUGGAUUAGAUUCAAAUUUUGAAGACCGAGAUCGAGUCAUUGAAGGCAGACCAGCAGAAAGAGAAACAUUAUCUGAGGGCAGAGAUAUGCACGAAAGCUGAUGCAUUGGUCCAAAGCCAGGUGGCAUUGGUGGAGAAUGGUGCAUUUGAGAGGGCGAGGAUAUAGAUGGAGUCACAAUCCAUGCCAGGCACACCUGUGAGCUCUGGAACUCCACCUCCGACAGGCAGAGUCAACAUACCUGGCGGGUACAUCAGGUCGUCCGUUCACCCUGACAUUUCCAUUCCUCUUCUGACAGAACUUGACCAAGACAAAUGUGGCUUACGAGUGAACCUUUGGGAGUUCAUUAUUAAUACUGUCUCAGAAGUUUCUGUCCAUGAUUGAUGCAACCCGAAAAAGCAUUAUAGACAGAGUUAAUGAGUACUUGAGGUCACUGAGAAAGUCUGGACAUGGCCUGCUCUCCCUUAUGUAAGAAAUUAGGCACUUUCCCAUGUUUACUACAGUAUGUACUGUAGGCUAUGUUUAAUUGUCAGACUGCACAGUAGCCUAAUAAACAAAUGGGCCAGAUGUAUACAGAAUGGUGUUGUCUGCGUAGAGGUGGAUCAGGGAAUCAUCCGCAGCAGAGCAACAUCAUUGAUAUAUACAGAGAAAAGAGUCGGCCCGAGAAUUGAACCCUGUGGUACCCCCAUAGAGACGGCCAGAGGUCCGGACAGCAGGCCCUCUCAUUUGACACACUGAACUCUGUCUGCAAAGUAGUUGUUGAACCAGGCGAGGCAGUCAUUUGAGAAACCGAGGCUAUUGAGUCUGCCGAUAAGAAUACGGUGAUUGACAGAGUUGAAAGCCUUGGCCAGGUAGAUGAAGACGGCUGCACAGUACUGUCUUUUAUCGAUAGCGGUUAUGAUAUCAUUUAGUACCUUGAGCGUGGCUGAGGUGCACCCAUGACCAGCUCGGAAACCGGAUUGCACAGCAGUGAAGGUACGGUGGGAUUCGAAAUGGUCAGUGAUCUGUUUAUUAACUUGGCUUUCAAAGACUUUAGAGAGGCAGGGCAGGAU
This 1432-nucleotide long non-coding RNA is filed under the name Salmo salar (Atlantic salmon). Its description in RNAcentral is "lncRNA (ENSSSAG00000102321.1)". The record is from RNAcentral. Lineage: Eukaryota; Metazoa; Chordata; Actinopteri; Salmoniformes; Salmonidae.